GACGAACGCUGGCGGUGUGCUUAAUACAUGCAAGUCGAACGAUGAGGCCCUUCGGGGUACAUCAGUGGCGGACGGCUGAGUAACGCGUAGGUAACGUGCCUCUUACUGGGGGAUAACAUCGGGAAACCGGUGCUAAUACCGCAUAAGUAGCCAUUUGAGAUAGUGGUUAUUAAAGAAUUUCGGUAAGAGAUCGGCCUGCGUCUGAUUAGCUAGUUGGUAGGGUAAGAGCCUACCAAGGCGAUGAUCAGUAGUUGGUCUGAGAGGAUGACCAGCCAGAGUGGGACUGAGACACGGCCCACACUUCUACGGAAGGCAGCAGUAGGGAAUUUUGCGCAAUGGGCGAAAGCCUGACGCAGCAACACCGCGUGUAGGAUGAAGGAUUUCGGUUCGUAAACUACUGUCGGCAGGGAAUAUAAUGACUGUACCUGCAAAGGAAGCAUCGGCUAACUACGUGCCAGCAGCCGCGGUAAGACGUAGGAUGCAAGCGUUGUCCGGAAUUAUUGGGCGUAAAGAGUUCGUAGGCGGUUACAUAAGUCUGGUGUUAAAUACUGGAGCUCAACUCCAGCAUGGCAUUGGAAACUGUGUGACUAGAGUGCGGUAGAGGUCACGGGAAUUCCUGGUGUAGCGGUGAAAUGCGUAGAUAUCAGGAGGAACACCGGUGGCGAAAGCGCGUGACUGGGCCGUAACUGACGCUGAGGAACGAAAGCCAGGGUAGCAAAAAGGAUUAGAUACCCUUGUAGUCCUGGCCGUAAACGAUGGAUACUAGGUGUAGGUGGAUUCGACCCCAUCUGUGCCGUAGCUAACGCGAUAAGUAUCCCGCCUGGGGAGUACGCUCGCAAGAGUGAAACUCAAGGAAUUGACGGGGGCCCGCACAAGCGGUGGAACAUGUGGUUUAAUUCGAUGCAACGCGAAGAACCUUACCUGGGCUUG
RNAcentral lists this ribosomal RNA (930 nucleotides) under uncultured bacterium. RNAcentral's name for it is "bacterial SSU rRNA". It matches the Rfam family "Bacterial small subunit ribosomal RNA", at positions 28 to 983 of the family's 1533-position model. The record is from RNAcentral.